This 248-nucleotide unclassified non-coding RNA is filed under the name Ascomycota sp. RNAcentral describes it as "partial contains 5.8S ribosomal RNA, internal transcribed spacer 2, and large subunit ribosomal RNA". Lineage: Eukaryota; Fungi; Ascomycota. The record is from RNAcentral.
CGCACAUUGCGCCCCUUGGUAUUCCAUGGGGCAUGCCUGUUCGAGCGUCAUUUGUACCUUCAAGCUCUGCUUGGUGUUGGGUGUUUUGUCCUCUCCAUUGCGUUUGGACUCGCCUUAAAGCAAUUGGCAGCCAGUGUAUUGGUUUUAAGCGCAGCACAUCUUGCGUCUUUUUCCUAUAACACUCGCGUCCAUUAAGCCUUUUUAUCACUUUUGACCUCGGAUCAGGUAGGGAUACCCGCUGAACUUAA